RNAcentral lists this ribosomal RNA (508 nucleotides) under uncultured bacterium. RNAcentral describes it as "partial 16S ribosomal RNA". It matches the Rfam family "Bacterial small subunit ribosomal RNA", at positions 28 to 507 of the family's 1533-position model. The record is from RNAcentral.
GACGAACGCUGGCGGCGUGCCUAAUACAUGCAAGUCGAACGCUUCUUUCCUCCCGAGUGCUUGCACUCAAUUGGGAAGAGGAGUGGCGGAAGGGUGAGUAACCCGUGGGUAACCUACCCAUCAGAGGGGGGUAACACUUGGAAACAGGUGCUAAUACCGCAUAACAGUUUAUGCCGCAUGGCAUAAGAGUGAAAGGCGCUUUCGGAGGUGGCUGCUGGAUGGACCCGCGGUGCAUUAGCUAGUUGGUGAGGUAACGGCUCACCAAGGCCACGAUGCAUAGCCGACCUGAGAGGGUGAUCGGCCACACUGGGACUGAGACACGGCCCAGACUCCUACGGGAGGCAGCAGUAGGGAAUCUUCGGCAAUGGACGAAAGUCUGACCGAGCAACGCCGCGUGAGUGAAGAAGGUUUUCGGAUCGUAAAACUCUGUUGUUAGGGAAGAACAAGGACGUUAGUAACUGAACGCCUCCUGACGGUAUCUAAUCAGAAAGCCACGGCUAACUACGUG